This is a long non-coding RNA of Acipenser ruthenus (sterlet), 606 nucleotides long. RefSeq lists it as uncharacterized. The transcript has 3 exons. NCBI's taxonomy places the organism in Eukaryota, Metazoa, Chordata, Actinopteri, Acipenseriformes, Acipenseridae. The record is from RefSeq and is a predicted model, not a curated record.
UCCCUCACCAACAUGGCUGGUUCCCCACUUCCUGUCAAGAUGGAGGACCACACCCAACUCAGGACACUCCCAACCACAGGCCUCCAGUCCCGAUACACCAGGUUGUGUUGUGGAUGGACGUUAUGUGCCUGCAAGGUUUCUUUUUUGACUGCCAGGACCAGGGACAGCAAUGCAAAGGAUUCCACAAAGUCAGGACCACGGACAGCUCAGUGGAAACUUCCAGACUGCAGCAGAGCAGCCACACUUGUCUGCAGGUGUAAUCAAGGCAAAUCUGCAGACAGGCUUUACCAAUCAGUCUGCUCUAUUUAACUGCGCCCUGGGUUUUCUUUUGUUGUCUUUUUUUUAAUCCUGGCAAGUGAAGGAAUAGGAGGGCAUUGGAGAGAGAACACUGUGGAGAGGAGUUUGGGAGAAAGAAAAGGAAAUUAUACCAAGGAUUGAACACCCAACGACAAACUAGGACUAGACUGGAGAACCUGAAUGACACUUGGACAAUACUUCUGUAUGAAAAUUACCAUCUGUAACGAACCCUGGCCUGUUGACUGAUUGAUUAUUUUGUUUGUUUUGUUGACGUUUAUAAAGAACACUCCCAAAGCCCCUCAUCCUCUG